UACGUAGGGUGCAAGCGUUGUCCGGAAUUAUUGGGCGUAAAGAGCUUGUAGGCGGUUUGUCGCGUCUGCUGUGAAAUUUCGGGGCUCAACCCCGAACUUGCAGUGGGUACGGGCAGACUAGAGUGUGGUAGGGGAGACUGGAAUUCCUGGUGUAGCGGUGGAAUGCGCAGAUAUCAGGAGGAACACCGGUGGCGAAGGCGGGUCUCUGGGCCGUAACUGACGCUGAGGAGCGAAAGCAUGGGGAGCGAACAGG
Molecule: ribosomal RNA, 253 nt
Filed under: uncultured bacterium
Lineage: Bacteria
Description: partial 16S ribosomal RNA
Rfam family: Bacterial small subunit ribosomal RNA
Source: RNAcentral